RNAcentral lists this ribosomal RNA (486 nucleotides) under uncultured bacterium. RNAcentral describes it as "bacterial SSU rRNA". It matches the Rfam family "Bacterial small subunit ribosomal RNA", at positions 28 to 507 of the family's 1533-position model. The record is from RNAcentral.
GAUGAACGCUAGCGGCAGGCCUAACACAUGCAAGUCGAGGGGCAUCGCGGUGCAGCAAUGCACUGGCGGCGACCGGCGUACGGGUGCGUAACGCGUAUGCAACCUGCCCCGCACCGGGGGAUAGCCCGCCGAAAGGCGGAUUAAUACCCCAUGGUCCCGGGGGCCCGCAUGGGCAUCCGGGUAAAGCCUUGGCGGUGCGGGAUGGGCAUGCGUGCCAUUAGCUGGCUGGUGGGGUAACGGCCCACCAGGGCAACGAUGGCUAGGGGGUCUGAGAGGAUGGUCCCCCACACUGGUACUGAGACACGGACCAGACUCCUACGGGAGGCAGCAGUGAGGAAUAUUGGUCAAUGGGCGGAAGCCUGAACCAGCCAUGCCGCGUGCAGGAAGGAGGCCCUACGGGUUGUAAACUGCUUUUACCCGGGAAGAAACCGCCCCCUGUGGGGGGCGUUGCCGGUACCGGGGGAAAAAGGAUCGGCUAACUCCGUG